AUUGAACGCUGGCGGCAGGCCUAACACAUGCAAGUCGAGCGGCAGCGGGACCUUCGGGUCGCCGGCGAGCGGCGGACGGGUGAGUAAUGCCUAGGAAUCUGCCUGUUAGUGGGGGAUAACGCGGGGAAACUCGCGCUAAUACCGCAUACGUCCUACGGGAGAAAGUGGGGGACCCUCGGGCCUCACGCUAACAGAAGAGCCUAGGUCGGAUUAGCUAGUUGGUGGGGUAAAGGCCCACCAAGGCGACGAUCCGUAACUGGUCUGAGAGGAUGAUCAGUCACACUGAAACUGAGACACGGUCCAGACUCCUACGGGAGGCAGCAGUGGGGAAUAUUGGACAAUGGGCGAAAGCCUGAUCCAGCCAUGCCGCGUGUGAAGAAGGUCUUCGGAUUGUAAAGCACUUUAAGUUGGGAGGAAGGGUUGUAGGUUAAUACCUUGCAGCCUUGACGUUACCGACAGAAUAAGCACCGGCUAACUUCGUGCCAGCCGCCGCAGUAA
This 498-nucleotide ribosomal RNA is filed under the name uncultured bacterium. Its description in RNAcentral is "partial 16S ribosomal RNA". It matches the Rfam family "Bacterial small subunit ribosomal RNA", at positions 30 to 523 of the family's 1533-position model. The record is from RNAcentral.